GGCGGCUCUAGGAGCGUCGGUCGCCUCUCUGAGGGCCGGCCCCGGAGGCCUCGGAGCGCCGGGCCUACCGGACGUUUGCGGCGAAGCUGCCCUGACUGAAAAGCGUCCGCGGGGCCGUCUGACAGGUCCGGGAAGAGGCCCCUGAGGGGCGGACGGGCGCGUCUCCACCGUUUUCGCAGAGGGAUACUGGUGAAGCGGGAGUGGUGUGCGGCCUCAGGUCCGGGCGGCACUGGGGUUAGGGACUGCGGAGGGAAGUGGUGCGUGUUUUUUGUCCUGAGGGCCAGUAAAUGACCUGCGACAUAACUAUUUGCAAAACAAAUGGGGAAGACCAAGAUAAAGAUAAGUUAUAUCACAGGAAAGCAAUUGAAAAUGCAAAAAUGAAGCAUCUGAAUGAAGGACUAAUAACACUGAAUUCAGCUUUUGUGAAUCUUAUCUGCAGAUAUGUACAGACCACAUCCUAAGAUUGACUUCUGCCUCAACAGAAAUACAUGAGCCAGUGCCUUAUUGGAAAUGAUUUGCGUGUUUUAAGAACUGGUGUAUAUAGGUACAUCUUGAAUGUUCUGCUUUCCUUGCCUUAUGCCUGUACUUCACCUCAGCCUUCAAUUCCAUUGUGUUUCCUUGCUACUUGGUAUCUUGAAAUCUGGUACGAAACUAUUGCAUGAUCCCUGCACCUUUGCUUCUGCAUAUAUCAUAGCUCUCUUAUAGUGAGUGUGCACAAUCUAUUUCAUUUGAUGUAAUCAAAGUUUAAUAUAUUGGAUAGUUAAAAAUAAAAUACAAC
Molecule: long non-coding RNA, 778 nt
Filed under: Homo sapiens (human)
Lineage: Eukaryota; Metazoa; Chordata; Mammalia; Primates; Hominidae
Description: long non-coding RNA NONHSAT172661.1
Source: RNAcentral